CUGUGCUCGGUUGCUUGUUUUCUUCUGGUGCUGCAGUUUUUCUCUGUUUACAUUAUUUUUGUGCAUCAAUAACAGGCAACGACGUUUGUGCUGAACCCUGAAGUCUUCUACUCUGCUGGGAGAUCCUCUCCGUGGAGCUUGACACGGAAGAUAUGGCCUUGGACGCGUCUGACGGUCAGCAUAGACCGCCCGCGGCUUGGAAGCGGCUCAGUUCGGCAGUAGGAUCCGAUGCUGCUGAUUCCGAGCUUUCUGACUCACGAUCGGAAGAUUCGGAUGCUUUCAUACCUGUGAAGCACCGCUGCCCACGGCGGACGUCUCCGGCGUCGUCCUCAAGUGAAGGAACCAUCAUAUACAGCACCAUCAAGACUACGACAGUAGCUUUCAGUCCCGUCGACGUGAUGAACCUACCAUCACAGAAGCGAACUGUCAAAGUAAGCCCAAAGGCUUAGAGGUUUCAACCUGCUGCACAGGGCUGCUCGGAAGACGACAUUCAAGACGCGGGCGACUCCGGAAGCAAAAAAAAACAAAACAAAACAUUGUGCAGAAUGGUUAUCGUAGCCUCAGAGGAUUAUAGAACAGUGCUGUUGCCGCUGAUAUCGAAAGAACGCUGUGACAAAUAACGGUUUUAAGGAUAAAUAUUAAGAGUUCAUAUAAUCGGCG
Molecule: long non-coding RNA, 660 nt
Organism: Dermacentor albipictus
Lineage: Eukaryota; Metazoa; Arthropoda; Arachnida; Ixodida; Ixodidae
Source: RefSeq, a predicted model, not a curated record